Lolium perenne is the source of this 2143-nucleotide long non-coding RNA. RefSeq lists it as uncharacterized. NCBI's taxonomy places the organism in Eukaryota, Viridiplantae, Streptophyta, Magnoliopsida, Poales, Poaceae. The record is from RefSeq and is a predicted model, not a curated record.
UGCCGCACCUCCCUAUUCGUCUGGCUCCCAAAUCCCCCAAGCAUAUCUUCCAUUAUCCAGUAAAAUCUCCGCCCGUGCCUGCAAUUUCUAGGAUUUGAGUGGAAGUCGCCGGCGACGAGUCGUCCGGGCGAUCCGGCCAUGCUCAUCUCCGCCCAUGCCUGCAAUUUCUAGGAUUUGAGUGGAAGUCGCCGGCGACGAGUCGUCCGGGCGAUCCGGCCAUGCUCAUCUCCGGCCUGGCCUGGCCGCGCCUCCCGCUCCCUGCCCGAGUUCCCUUCUCGAUGGAGAAACUCAGCCCUCCGACGAACGGCCGCCACCAUGCCCCCCGGCGCCUCCGCCCGGCGCGGCUUCGCGUGUACGAGCGCACCUUGCUCCUGUCGCCUGCCUGCUCACUCCUAACCGGACGGAGCUUCGCCAGCACGUCGCUCAGCUCCCUCUCCACCCGUCUGGUGUCGCCUGCUCGCGGAUGCGCCGCCCGCCGUCUCCAGGCUGUACGUCCGCGUUCAUGGAAAAAUUGCUGCGGGUAACCUACUAAUAUUAAGCAUGCCGUUGCAUCUCCAGAGAGUCUACAAGCAGUAGACUUUGUGGUCAGUUUGAAGAGAAAGCUGUCCAACAACUUCGUGAUGUUGAUUACUUUGGUGUUGAAGUAAUUUUCAUGGUUAACAACAACGUAGCUUGUGUGCAUGUUUUUUUGUGCAUCGUCAGCAGCUGGAGCCAUAUCAAUGAGAAGACCACGAUCAGUUGUAUUUACUUUCAUUUUAAUUCUUUGAAAUGAAUGUUGCUCCGCUCUUCUGUCAUGAGUUAAAGAUUUGCAGAUUCUCAAUGCAUGUUUCUUUAUUUUAUUAGUGUUCAAGCCAUCGGUACAGUUCUAAUUUCUCCUGUAAAAGUGUUUCAGUGUGUACACUCCGGUGGCUACCUUUGUAGAAGUAUUUCAACAGUAGGUGAGCAGGAAUUAAUGGUACCAUUGGCAGAGAGUUUUGUUGCUAAGAUAACCAUGUUGAUUUCAGUACCACAUGUUUCCUGGAACAUCUAGAAUAGAUUAUCAAGUGAUUUUCUAUCAAUAUUCAUUUAAUUCAUACUUGGGAAGCAUGGUAUUUUAUAUCCAUUGCAUUUCACAGUGUGGUGUAGUUCCAGCUGCUGGUUAUGGUUCACCCUGGGGUGGUGCAAUACAAGAGGUGAAUUUGAUGCAAAGACAGAGCACGAUAUGAUCCGUAAGUACAAGGUUCUCUUGGAUGUCUUCAAGUUGUAGACAGAGUGAAUUAUGUUAUUUGUUUUUCCUAUUAUUUGCAGGUUCUUUUGUUCAGUGAUUUUUGUACAACCGUGAGCUCAUUUCCAAUGCUGUAAAGAUACCUUGUUGAAGGUCAAUACAUUGUGAUUUUAUUGUAUAGUGUAUUUGCUAUAUUUCUUCUUAGCAAAAAAAUAUUUCAUUUAUUCAUGUUUCACCCAACGUUUUCUAAAAUAAAUUACGCUUUCCAUCUUUCUGCUUUUAUAGAUGAUUAGGUCCAUCGGGGUAUAGGGAAAUAUGAUUAAGAAACGAAAAUAUUUCAGAGAUGGACCCAUUCACAAAUCUCUGAUAGGAGAGCCAGGUAAGCUCUUUCUUUUUCUUGAAAUCCUUCACUAAGGUUUACUGCCGCUGAGACACAUCUCUUGUGGCAUAUAGAUGAUUAGGCCAAUAAAUUCAUUUGAUAUACUACAAUUUUUCAGGUUUAUUCUUUGAUGGUGAAUCCAUGGGAACCUUAUGGAAUUUAAGGAAGCAACUGUUAGAUUCUCCUUUUGUUUGAUUUUCUUAUACAGGGAAUGAGGUUUCACAAUUUAAACUAUGUUUUAUGCUUAAUCUGAAUAUAUUCCUUAGUUGCUCCAAGUAACAAAUUAGUGUCCAGUUUAGUCGUUCUGUUGUUCCUUCCAUGAAACUUAACAAAAUUAGAAAAUGUUAGGAAAAAUGAUAAAUAUAUUGUACUUAGUCUGUAGUAGUUUUUUUUAGGGUUAGUCUGCAGUAGUCUUUUUUUUUUUGAGGUUUAGUCUGCAGUAGUUGGUGUAAUGGUUAAUGUUCCUUUUCUCCUAUUUCGUGUUGUUAUUUUUUAGAGCAUGUUACUAUAUCAAGAUGGAGCGCUUUUGCCUACACAACUGCCCAAGUAACAGUCAUCGA